GGCAUGCUCUGCACAGUAAACACACA
RNAcentral lists this non-coding RNA (26 nucleotides) under Mus musculus (house mouse). The record is from RNAcentral. Lineage: Eukaryota; Metazoa; Chordata; Mammalia; Rodentia; Muridae.